UCAUACAAGAAGCCCAAGUCAAUAGCCAUUCGGCGUAAAGAGUGGUUACAUGUUAUCUACGCCGACUAAGAUCGAAAUGCAACUGAGCUGUCAUAAGCCCAAGAUUCACCUAAGUCCAACCUAAACACCAUCUUAGCCGCCAUGACCAAUUUAAGCCCACGAAAGCCAGGACACAAACUGGGAUUAGAUACCCCACUAUGCCAGGCCCUAAAUCUAGAUACCCAAACAUCUACUUACGUAUCCGCCUGAGAACUACGAGCACAAACGCUUAAAACUCUAAGGACUUGGCGGUGCCCCAAACCCACCUAGAGGAGCCUGUUCUGUAACCGAUAAUCCACGAUCCACCCAACCAUCCCUCGCCAACACAGCCUACAUACCGCCGUCGCCAGCCCACCUCCAAUGAAAGAACAAUAGUGAGCCCAACAGUCUACGCUAACAAGACAGGUCAAGGUAUAGCCCAUGGGAUGGAAGCAAUGGGCUACAUUUUCUAAAAUAGAACAAACGAAAAAGGGCAUGAAACCGGCCCUUAGAAGGAGGAUUUAGCAGUAAAGCGGGAUCAUCUUGAGCCCGCUUUAAGACGGCCCUGAGGCACGUACAUACCGCCCGUCACCCUCUUCAAGAGCCACCAACCCCAAUAAAUAAUUUACCCACUCCAGGCUAAAGACGAGGUAAGUCGUAACAA
This 682-nucleotide ribosomal RNA is filed under the name Pternistis leucoscepus. RNAcentral describes it as "Francolinus leucoscepus partial 12S ribosomal RNA". It matches the Rfam family "Bacterial small subunit ribosomal RNA", at positions 521 to 1494 of the family's 1533-position model. The record is from RNAcentral. Lineage: Eukaryota; Metazoa; Chordata; Aves; Galliformes; Phasianidae.